UAACAACAUGUGCAUUUUUCGUGUGUAGUACGAACAACAUUCAAUUAAAAUUGUAUUAACCUUUUCAAUAGAACAACUUGCUUUUACAACUUCUGUCCGUACCAAAGUUUGAAAAAGACGAACAACUUUACCUUUUGGCUGGGAAAAUAAUAUUAUACUAUGCUUCGGAUGAAAACGUAUGUUUGAGUCUGUUCAUUUCAGCAUCUUGUUCAUUGUGUGAAUGAAUGCAUGACUGUAAAUUUGUGUCAUUAAUAUUCAUACUUAGUCUACCACAACCUGUAUUCGUCUAGGGUUGUUCCAAGCUGGUAGAGUCUGGCGAACUAAAACCAACCCUGCUUCAGUUUUCACACACAACGAAUGUGGCUCUGCAAACGGUCAUUGCUAAGAUAGUGUUGGCUAUAGUUGAUUCUUAUGAAAAUAAGUAAGUAUAGAGCUACGAUUAAAUAUUGCAAUUAUGCAGACCAAAUUUUUCGGACUUGUUGUGAGGCAUCUAUUUUUCUUAAGCUCAAAUUUCUGCACCAUCAAACAUCGACAUGCACGUUGGGGAAACAAAAU
Paramuricea clavata is the source of this 555-nucleotide non-coding RNA. NCBI's taxonomy places the organism in Eukaryota, Metazoa, Cnidaria, Anthozoa, Malacalcyonacea, Plexauridae. The record is from the annotation of a GenBank genome assembly.